This 494-nucleotide ribosomal RNA is filed under the name uncultured bacterium. RNAcentral describes it as "bacterial SSU rRNA". It matches the Rfam family "Bacterial small subunit ribosomal RNA", at positions 8 to 502 of the family's 1533-position model. The record is from RNAcentral.
AGAGUUUGAUCCUGGCUCAGGAUGAACGCUAGCGGCAGGCCUAAUACAUGCAAGUCGAGGGGUAAGGCUCUUUCGGGAGUACACGACCGGCGCACGGGUGCGUAACGCGUAUGCAACCUACCCACAACUGGGGAAUAGCCCGGAGAAAUCCGGAUUAAUACCCCAUAAUGCAGUGGUUCCGCAUGGAACUAUUUGCUAAAGAUUUAUUGGUUGUGGAUGGGCAUGCGUCUGAUUAGUUAGUUGGUGAGGUAAAAGCUCACCAAGACGAUGAUCAGUAGGGGGUCUGAGAGGAUGAUCCCCCACACUGGUACUGAGAUACGGACCAGACUCCUACGGGAGGCAGCAGUAGGGAAUAUUGGUCAAUGGACGAAAGUCUGAACCAGCCAUGCCGCGUGCAGGAUGACGGCCUUCUGGGUUGUAAACUGCUUUUAUCAGGGAAGAAAAGGGCACUGCGGUGCACAUUGACGGUACCUGAAGAAUAAGCACCGCUAACU